Molecule: ribosomal RNA, 447 nt
Filed under: uncultured bacterium
Lineage: Bacteria
Description: bacterial SSU rRNA
Rfam family: Bacterial small subunit ribosomal RNA
Source: RNAcentral
AGAGUUUGAUUCUGGCUCAGGAUGAACGCUGGCGGCGUGCCUAACACAUGCAAGUCGAACGAAGCGUGCCGGAGGAAGUUUUCGGAUGGAAUCCGGGAUGACUGAGUGGCGGACGGGUGAGUAACGCGUGGGUAACCUGCCCUGUACAGGGGGACAACAGUUAGAAAUGACUGCUAAUACCGCAUAAGCGCACAGGACCGCAUGGUCCGGUGUGAAAAACUCCGGUGGUACAGGAUGGACCCGCGUCUGAUUAGGUAGUUGGCGGGGUAACGGCCCACCAAGCCGACGAUCAGUAGCCGACCUGAGAGGGUGACCGGCCACAUUGGGACUGAGACACGGCCCAAACUCCUACGGGAGGCAGCAGUGGGGAAUAUUGCACAAUGGGGGGAACCCUGAUGCAGCGACGCCGCGUGAGUGAAGAAGUAUUUCGGUAUGUAAAGCUCUAUC